Molecule: ribosomal RNA, 531 nt
Filed under: Babesia canis rossi
Lineage: Eukaryota; Apicomplexa; Aconoidasida; Piroplasmida; Babesiidae
Description: SSU rRNA
Rfam family: Eukaryotic small subunit ribosomal RNA
Source: RNAcentral
ACUCCAGAGUAGCAUUGGAGGGCAGUCUGGUGCCAGCAGCCGCGGUAAUUCCAGCUCCAAUAGCGUAUAUUAAACUUCGUUGCAGUUAAAAAGCUCGUAGUUCGUAUUUUUCGCUUCGGCGGUUUGUUGCCUUUGUGGCUUGAUUCCGCUUGGCUUUUGGCUUUUUGCCUUAUUACUUUGAGAAAAUUAGAGUGUUUCAAGCAGACUUUUGUCUUGAAUACUGUAGCAUGGAAUAAUAGAGUAGGACUUUGGUUCUAUUUUGUUGGUUUGGGAACCUUGGUAAUGGUUAAUAGGAACGGUUGGGGGCAUUCGUAUUUAACUGUCAGAGGUGAAAUUCUUAGAUUUGUUAAAGACGAACUACUGCGAAAGCAUUUGCCAAGGACGUUUCCAUUAAUCAAGAACGAAAGUUAGGGGAUCGAAGACGAUCAGAUACCGUCGUAGUCCUAACCAUAAACUAUGCCGACUAGUGAUUGGAGGUCGUCGUUUGUUUGACCCCUUCAGGAGCUUGAGAGAAAAAAAGCUUUUUUUGGA